Molecule: long non-coding RNA, 322 nt
Filed under: Musa acuminata (dwarf banana)
Lineage: Eukaryota; Viridiplantae; Streptophyta; Magnoliopsida; Zingiberales; Musaceae
Description: long non-coding RNA (MACU_LNC006441)
Source: RNAcentral
UGGGAGAACCGGUUGAGGAUCGCCGUGGAAACGGCAGGAGCACUUGCGUACUUGCACUCGGCGUCGGCGAAACCUAUCAUUCACAGGGACGUCAAGUCAGCGAACAUACUUUUGGACGAGGAUUACACGGCAAAGGUGUCGGACUUUGGAGCGUCAAGGUUGAUCCCCUACGACCAGACUCAUCUGACGACGUUGGUGCAGGGGACCCUCGGGUACCUCGACCCGGAGUACUUCCGGACGAGCAUAUUGACGGAGAAGAGCGAUGUGUACAGCUUUGGUGUGGUUCUGAUGGAGCUGUUGAUGCGAGAGAAGCCCAUAUCAC